UUUUUAACUAACUUGAAAUACUUUUAUAUUAUUUUAGGAUUAAAUCUAAUGAAGCUGAUGACUGUCAAAAAGAACUUAGAAAAUUGAAGUUUGAAUCCAUUAUCUCUGAAUCACGGCACACUAGGUUGCUUAAAGAAAAAGAAGACUCUUUAAUGACUUGUCAACAAAUAUAUAAAACUUUACAGGAAGAGCUGUCUAUAAAAGAAAGGCAAGAAGAAGACAUAAAAAGAAGAAUUCACCUUGCCGAAAAUGAACUGCACAUAACUAAAACUCUCUUGAAUCAGACAAAGGAAGAGGUUGUAACAUUGAAAAAUGAAAGGGAAAUGAUGCUGAUUUCACAUCAGAAAAGCAUUGAGCAGCUGCGGGAAACCCUAAGACAGAAGCUGCUGAACGAUGAUAACUGGAGGGAGAAGGUAACAGUGUAUGAUUCCCAUCAGCGUGUGUCU
This 446-nucleotide long non-coding RNA is filed under the name Cavia porcellus (domestic guinea pig). RNAcentral describes it as "lncRNA (ENSCPOG00000035695.1)". Lineage: Eukaryota; Metazoa; Chordata; Mammalia; Rodentia; Caviidae. The record is from RNAcentral.